CUUUGGGGUGUGACUGCGUACCUUUUGUAUAAUGGGUCAGCGACUUAUAUUCUGUAGCAAGGUUAACCGCAUAGGGGAGCCGGAGGGAAACCGAGUCUUAAUUGGGCGUUAAGUUGCAGGGUAUAGACCCGAAACCCGGUGAUCUAGCCAUGGGCAGGUUGAAGGUUGGGUAACACUAACUGGAGGACCGAACCGACUAAUGUUGAAAAAUUAGCGGAUGACCUGUGGCUGGGGGUGAAAGGCCAAUCAAACCGGGAGAUAGCUGGUUCUCCCCGAAAGCUAUUUAGGUAGCGCCUCGUGAAUUCAUCUCCGGGGGUAGAGCACUGUUUCGGCUAGGGGGCCAUCCCGGCUUACCAACCCGAUGCAAACUGCGAAUACCGGAGAAUGUUAUCACGGGAGACACACGGCGGGUGCUAACGUCCGUCGUGAAGAGGGAAACAACCCAGACCGCCAGCUAAGGUCCCAAAGUCAUGGUUAAGUGGGAAACGAUGUGGGAAGGCCCAGACAGCCAGGAUGUUGGCUUAGAAGCAGCCAUCAUUUAAAGAAAGCGUAAUAGCUCACUGGUCGAGUCGGCCUGCGCGGAAGAUGUAACGGGGCUAAACCAUG
Molecule: ribosomal RNA, 606 nt
Filed under: Salmonella enterica subsp. enterica
Lineage: Bacteria; Pseudomonadati; Pseudomonadota; Gammaproteobacteria; Enterobacterales; Enterobacteriaceae
Also listed under: 1 other name
Description: partial 23S ribosomal RNA
Rfam family: Bacterial large subunit ribosomal RNA
Source: RNAcentral